Molecule: microRNA precursor, 80 nt
Filed under: Aotus nancymaae (Ma's night monkey)
Lineage: Eukaryota; Metazoa; Chordata; Mammalia; Primates; Aotidae
Description: miRNA (ENSANAG00000009957.1)
Source: RNAcentral
UAUUAGGUUGGUGCAAAAGUAAUCGUGGUUUUUGCCAUUGAAAGUCAUGGCAAAACUGCAAUUACUUUUGCACCAACCUA